GAAAUAAAAUAAAUACACAAAAUAAUAAUAUUUACCUGAUUCACCCUUUUCACAUAGUGUUAUAUCCAUAGGCAUGCCAUCUUCCACUAUCAACAAUAAAUAAUUAAUUCCAAACUCAAACUAUACUACCCAUAAAUCCAAUUAUAUCCAAGAGAACCCACACUACAGUAAAUAUAUUAGUUAUUCCCUCUCAGUCUCCUCUAAAUAUAACAUAAUAUAUUUAUUAUUUUAACUGCUACACCACAAAGGGUAUUUUUAACUACAUGGGCAAGAGCCUUCUCAUCAAUAGACAAGAAUUUCUUCCUCUUGAAUUCUAUGCCCUCUCUCCACCUUAGGCCAAAGUCUCUUUCCCUCCAUGGGGCUACAAUGGGCAGGAGCCCCUCAUCAAUGGGCAAAACCACUCUUCAUGGGCAAAGCCACUCUCUUCAAUAGGCAAAGCUGCUCCCUAUGGGUGAAGCCAAAUAACCUUUCCACUAUUAUCUAUUUAUAGUGUAAAUUUCCUCAAUUCUAAUCUGAUUAGGAAUCCCACUCAAUUUUAGAAUAACACUAAAACAAGAGUUCUAGUCAAUAUAAGAAAUAUUUCUCCAUCCUAUUGAGGAAUAUUUCUUCUACUGAAAUUAGAAAAAGAUCUCUCCAAAUUUUACUAGGAUUUUGAAUCAUAAUUUUAACAUAUUCAAAGCUCGUGUUAAUCAUGUAUUCAAAGAAGAAAAGAAGUUAAAACUCUAUUCUUUAGGUAUAAAUAGAAAUAUAAGUAAUCAACUGUACACAGGACACGUGAAAUGAAAGGCCAACACAAGAUGUUACUCAUCAUCCUUGUAUGGGUUCUCUUCUGGAACUUGCUUUAGAAGUUUCACCUGC
Molecule: unclassified non-coding RNA, 858 nt
Filed under: Hevea brasiliensis (rubber tree)
Lineage: Eukaryota; Viridiplantae; Streptophyta; Magnoliopsida; Malpighiales; Euphorbiaceae
Source: RNAcentral